UACGUAGGUGGCAAGCGUUGUCCGGAUUUACUGGGCGUAAAGAGCGCGCAGGCGGUCGUUCAAGUCGCGUGUGAAAGCCCCCGGCUCAACUGGGGAGGGUCACGCGAUACUGAUCGACUCGAAGGCAGGAGAGGGUAGUGGAAUUCCUGGUGUAGCGGUGAAAUGCGUAGAGAUCAGGAGGAACACCCGUGGCGAAGGCGGCACUCUGGUCGACAUCUGACGCUGAGACGCGAAAGCGUGGGGAGCGAACGGG
Molecule: ribosomal RNA, 253 nt
Filed under: uncultured bacterium
Lineage: Bacteria
Description: partial 16S ribosomal RNA
Rfam family: Bacterial small subunit ribosomal RNA
Source: RNAcentral